AUGCAGUCGAGCGGACAGAAGGGAGCUUGCUCCCGGAUGUUAGCGGCGGACGGGUGAGUAACACGUGGGUAACCUGCCUGUAAGACUGGGAUAACUCCGGGAAACCGGAGCUAAUACCGGAUAGUUCCUUGAACCGCAUGGUUCAAGGAUGAAAGACGGUUUCGGCUGUCACUUACAGAUGGACCCGCGGCGCAUUAGCUAGUUGGUGAGGUAACGGCUCACCAAGGCGACGAUGCGUAGCCGACCUGAGAGGGUGAUCGGCCACACUGGGACUGAGACACGGCCCAGACUCCUACGGGAGGCAGCAGUAGGGAAUCUUCCGCAAUGGACGAAAGUCUGACGGAGCAACGCCGCGUGAGUGAUGAAGGUUUUCGGAUCGUAAAGCUCUGUUGUUAGGGAAGAACAAGUGCAAGAGUAACUGCUUGCACCUUGACGGUACCUAACCAGAAAGCCACGGCUAACUACGUGCCAGCAGCCGCGGUAAUACGUAGGUGGCAAGCGUUGUCCGGAAUUAUUGGGCGUAAAGGGCUCGCAGGCGGUUUCUUAAGUCUGAUGUGAAAGCCCCCGGCUCAACCGGGGAGGGUCAUUGGAAACUGGGAAACUUGAGUGCAGAAGAGGAGAGUGGAAUUCCACGUGUAGCGGUGAAAUGCGUAGAGAUGUGGAGGAACACCAGUGGCGAAGGCGACUCUCUGGUCUGUAACUGACGCUGAGGAGCGAAAGCGUGGGGAGCGAACAGGAUUAGAUACCCUGGUAGUCCACGCCGUAAACGAUGAGUGCUAAGUGUUAGGGGGUUUCC
Molecule: ribosomal RNA, 796 nt
Filed under: Bacillus sp. Y477_3
Lineage: Bacteria; Bacillati; Bacillota; Bacilli; Caryophanales; Bacillaceae
Description: bacterial SSU rRNA
Rfam family: Bacterial small subunit ribosomal RNA
Source: RNAcentral